Molecule: transfer RNA, 71 nt
Filed under: Marmota monax (woodchuck)
Lineage: Eukaryota; Metazoa; Chordata; Mammalia; Rodentia; Sciuridae
Description: tRNA.Ala
Rfam family: tRNA
About the family: Transfer RNA (tRNA) molecules are approximately 80 nucleotides in length. Their secondary structure includes four short double-helical elements and three loops (D, anti-codon, and T loops). Further hydrogen bonds mediate the characteristic L-shaped molecular structure. tRNAs have two regions of fundamental functional importance: the anti-codon, which is responsible for specific mRNA codon recognition, and the 3' end, to which the tRNAs corresponding amino acid is attached (by aminoacyl-tRNA synthetases). tRNAs cope with the degeneracy of the genetic code in two manners: having more than one tRNA (with a specific anti-codon) for a particular amino acid; and 'wobble' base-pairing, i.e. permitting non-standard base-pairing at the 3rd anti-codon position.
Source: RNAcentral
GGGGUUGUAGCUCAGUGGUUGAGCACUUGUCUAGCACUUAUGAGGCACUGGGUUCAACCCUCAGCACCACA